UGGGGAAUAUUGGACAAUGGGGGCAACCCUGAUCCAGCCAUGCCGCGUGAGUGAUGAAGGCCUUCGGGUUGUAAAGCUCUUUUGGCGGGGACGAUGAUGACGGUACCCGCAGAAUAAGCCCCGGCUAACUUCGUGCCAGCAGCCGCGGUAAGACGAAGGGGGCUAGCGUUGUUCGGAAUUACUGGGCGUAAAGCGAGUGUAGGCGGUUGCCGUAGUCAGGUGUGAAAGCCUUGAGCUCAACUCAAGAAAUGCACUUGAUACUGGGUGACUAGAGGACCGGAGAGGAUAGUGGAAUUCCCAGUGUAGUGGUGAAAUACGUAGAGAUUGGGAAGAACACCAGUGGCGAAGGCGGCUAUCUGGACGGUUACUGACGCUAAGACUCGAAAGCGUGGGGAGCAAACAGGAUUAGAUACCCUGGUAGUCCACGCCGUAAACGAUGGGUGCUAGACGUUGGCGAGCUUGCUCGUCAGUGUCGCAGCUAACGCGUUAAGCACCCCGCCUGGGGAGUACGGCCGCAAGGUUGAAACUCAAAAUGAAUUGACGGGGUCAUAGCUG
This 555-nucleotide ribosomal RNA is filed under the name uncultured bacterium. RNAcentral describes it as "partial 16S ribosomal RNA". It matches the Rfam family "Bacterial small subunit ribosomal RNA", at positions 355 to 932 of the family's 1533-position model. The record is from RNAcentral.